Molecule: long non-coding RNA, 1906 nt
Organism: Triticum aestivum (bread wheat)
Lineage: Eukaryota; Viridiplantae; Streptophyta; Magnoliopsida; Poales; Poaceae
Exons: 2
Source: RefSeq, a predicted model, not a curated record
GGCACAAGUACAGCGUCAGUUUACAAUGCAAGGAUGUCCAUUGAUGCCAAACUGUCUGUUGGGCUGUGUCUUAUCUGUAUUUCAGUGUGUGUGUGUGUGUGUGCGCGCGCUUAUGGCCCAUGUGGCCCAUGUGGCCCAUGUAACCCUGCAGCCUAUAUAUGUGCUGCCCCCUUGUACAGGAAACCCUAACUCCAAUAGAAUACAAUACCAGGCCAUCUUUCUAUCCCAGCCGCCACCCCUCUCUCCCCUGAUUCUACAUGGUGUCAGAGCUUGGGUUCCCAAUCCCAGCAAUGGUGAUGGUGGUUGGCUGGUUGUGCUUGCUGGCGAUUGUCUGAGAGGAGAAGGCUUGUGUGGAAGAAGGAGAGGUGGAAUCCCAGAUCUGAGGGGAGGAGGUAGUAGAGAGGUGAAAGUGGGGAGCAGUGGUUGCUGGAGGUUGCUAGUGGUGUGAUUCAAGAUUGGAAAGAUGGGGGACAACCAGGGGUUGGUAAAGGCAGGGGUUGGUAAAGGCGUUGGAGAAGCUAGCUGAGCUCAUCACUGUCAAGGCAGAGGGUGUGGCUUCCCCAGGUGCGCUUGUUCCUCAGCCUGAGGUGAUACAGAGAAUAGAACUGAUGCCAAAUGAAAUCAAGAUGGAAGGGGUCACAAACUACCUAAGCUGGUCCAGAAGGGCAUUGCUAAUAUUGAGGACAAAGGGGCUGGAAGGCUAUGUCAGAGGGGAAGUAGAUGAACCGGCGAACAGGGCAAGUGAAGAGUGGAGUGGAGUGUCAUUGACUCUCUGGUGGUGGCAUGGCUGCUGAACUCCUUGACCCCAUCCAUUGCAGCAGCCGUGGAGACUCUUCCCCAUGCAGUAGAGGUAUGGAAAACCCUGGAAACAUUGUACUCCGGGAAAGGGAACAUAAUGCUUAUGGCGCAGAUUGAGGAUAGAGUAAAUGAGCUAAAACAAGGGGAUAAGUCGGUGAUGGAGUAUGUAGCAGAAUUGCAGCAUUUGUGGGCUGACUUAGACCACUAUGAUCCAUUGGAGUUACCACAUUCAGAAUGUAUAGUUGCUACUAAGAAGUGGGUAGAGCGUAGGAGAGUGAUGAAAUUCUUGAAGGGACUUAGCUCAGAAUUUGAAGGAAGGCGUGCUGGGUGUUUCAUCAGCCAAAGCUCCCCUCGCUUGAGGAGGCAGUUGCAGCAAUGGCACAGGAGGAGGUCAGGUUGAAGUUGACCAGGACUGGAGAAGCGAAUGCAUCUCGCUCAGCAUUUACUGUGUCUGAAUGGAAGGAGACAAGAGAGUGCUUCAAUUGUGGAGAGAAAGGUCACAUAAGCAUCAAUUGCACAGCACAACGCAGAGAAAUACGUGGUAGGGGAAGAGGUUACAGCCGAGGUGGAUACCGGGAAGUUAGAGGCAGAGGUAACUCGAGGGGUUCGAAUUAUUCCAGUGGCUUCAAAGCAAACUUGGCUAACUUGGCAACGCAAGAAGAAGGGACGUCAACAACCUCUCAAGGGGAGACGAAGAGUAGAAGCCAGGAGGACAACACCUUCGGGAACUUUGCCCACUUUGUCUACACAGGGGAAGGAGAGGAUGACUGGAAGGAAACUUGGGACAGGAACCAGGCGUAGUGGAUUGUGGUAUAUGGAUCGUGAUGUGUCUAGGUCUGGUGCUAGUCCUAUUUUGGCUGUACUAGUUGGAGUAAGUGAGACAAUGGCGAUGAUCCAUCACUGUCGCAUGGGGCAUAUGGCUUUUGAUAAGAUGAGUAAGAUGUUUCCUGAUGUAAUGCGUGGAGUAGACAAGAGUAAGCUUGUGUGUGAUGCAUGUGAAUAUGCAAAGCACACAAGAAUCUCAUAUUUGAGUAAAAUAUGCAAAGCACACAAGAAUCUCAUAUUUGAGUAAGGGGCUAAGGAGUAUAUCCCCGUUUAUGCUGAUUCA